This is a long non-coding RNA of Hevea brasiliensis (rubber tree), 1006 nucleotides long. RefSeq lists it as uncharacterized. NCBI's taxonomy places the organism in Eukaryota, Viridiplantae, Streptophyta, Magnoliopsida, Malpighiales, Euphorbiaceae. The transcript has 3 exons. The record is from RefSeq and is a predicted model, not a curated record.
UUUCCACCGCCCGCCCCUUGCUCCUUUAAGCUUCGAUCCCUUUCUUCCCUCUCUUUCAGAGCUUAUACAAAUGGCGACUAUUAGCCGUAGCUCUCCGAGAAUGUUCACCAGGGAUCCUCACGUUUUAUCCUCAUCGAGGAACCUGGGCGAUGUUUCUCUUUUGGAUUCCACAAUUACUUGAACCAGAUUUUUCUCUCAAUUUCAAAAGCGAGUUUUUUUUUUUGUUAGAUCCACGGCGGUUACCGAGCAGAAUCCUUAGAAAUGGUCACUCGCUUCUGUAAAUGGUCCUUUGACUGCUACUGCUGUACAAUGGCAUUAAUUGGUUUUUUGUUCUGUUUGAACAACAAACAUUGGAGGCUUUGCUUGAAUCAGGCUAUUCUCUCAUCAAAGAACAACAGCUGAUAAUGGAGAAUAAACUUUCAAAGGAAUACAUGAAGAACAUUGACGACUAGAAAAGAGUAAUCUUGAUGAGUUAACUCUUAAAGAUCCUCAAUCUAGUGGAAAUCAAGAUCAACACAUGGAAGAUCCCUUGAAGGACUUGGGACUUGAUCAAGUUGAGCUUGAAGAGCAACAGGGUCAACCAAUUCCAUAUCAAGAAGUUCAACAAGAUCGACCUAAAAAUUGGACAUUCAAGAAGGAUCAUCCUAAGGACCUAAUCAUUGGUGAUAUAUCAAAAGGGGUAACAACUAUAUCCUCUCUUAGAAAUAUAUAUAAUAACCUUGCAUUCAUUUCUCAAAUAGAACCUAUGAGCGUAGAUGGUCUAUCAAUGAUGAGAGUUGGGUACUUGCAAUGCAAGAGGAACUCAAUCAAUUUGAAAGGAAUAAAGUUUGGACCUUAGUUCAUAGGCCAAAGGACCAUCCAUCCAUAGGCACCAAAUGGGUGUUUAGAAACAAAUUAGAUGAGGAUGGAAACAUAACUAAGAAUAAAGUUAGGUUAGUAGCCAAAGGCUAUAACCAAGAGGAGGGCAUUGACUAUGAUAAAAUCUUUGCCCCCGUAGUUAGAUUAG